RNAcentral lists this ribosomal RNA (496 nucleotides) under uncultured bacterium. Its description in RNAcentral is "partial 16S ribosomal RNA". It matches the Rfam family "Bacterial small subunit ribosomal RNA", at positions 29 to 507 of the family's 1533-position model. The record is from RNAcentral.
AUGCACGCUGGCGGCGUGCCUAAUACAUGCAAGUCGAGCGAACGGACGAGAAGCUUGCUUUUCUGAUGUUAGCGGCGGACGGGUGAGUAACACGUGGAUAACCUACCUAUAAGACUGGGAUAACUUCGGGAAACCGGAGCUAAUACCGGAUAAUAUUUUGAACCGCAUGGUUCAAAAGUGAAAGACGGUCUUGCUGUCACUUAUAGAUGGAUCCGCGCUGCAUUAGCUAGUUGGUGAGGUAACGGCUUACCAAGGCAACGAUGCAUAGCCGACCUGAGAGGGUGAUAGGCCACACUGGAACUGAGACACGGUCCAGACUCCUAAGGGAGGCAGCAGUAGGGAAUCUUCCGCAAUGGGCGAAAGCCUGACGGAGCAACGCCGCGUGAGUGAUGAAGGUCUUCGGAUCGUAAAACUCUGUUAUUAGGGAAGAACAUAUGUGUAAGUAACUGUGCACAUCUUGACGGUACCUAAUCAGAAAGCCACGGCUAACUACGUG